CCGGCACGGGUGAGUAACACGUAUCCAACCUGCCUCACUCUUGGACAGCCUUCUGAAAGGAAGAUUAAUACAAGAUGGCAUCAUGAGUCCGCAUGUUCACAUGAUUAAAGGUGUUCCGGUAGACGAUGGGGAUGCGUUCCAUUAGAUAGUAGGCGGGGUAACGGCCCACCUAGUCUUCGAUGGAUAGGGGUUCUGAGAGGAAGGUCCCCCACAUUGGAACUGAGACACGGUCCAA
This 235-nucleotide ribosomal RNA is filed under the name uncultured bacterium. Its description in RNAcentral is "partial 16S ribosomal RNA". It matches the Rfam family "Bacterial small subunit ribosomal RNA", at positions 100 to 334 of the family's 1533-position model. The record is from RNAcentral.